GCGGUGGUAGCUCAGUUGGUAGAGCACCGGAUUGUGAUUCCGGUGGUCGUGGGUUCGAUCCCCAUCCAUCGCCCCA
This 76-nucleotide transfer RNA is filed under the name Hydrogenophilales bacterium 28-61-23. RNAcentral describes it as "tRNA-His". It matches the Rfam family "tRNA". From Rfam's summary of the family: Transfer RNA (tRNA) molecules are approximately 80 nucleotides in length. Lineage: Bacteria; Pseudomonadati; Pseudomonadota; Hydrogenophilia; Hydrogenophilales. The record is from RNAcentral.